This 816-nucleotide ribosomal RNA is filed under the name uncultured Actinomycetes bacterium. RNAcentral describes it as "bacterial SSU rRNA". It matches the Rfam family "Bacterial small subunit ribosomal RNA", at positions 58 to 849 of the family's 1533-position model. Lineage: Bacteria; Bacillati; Actinomycetota; Actinomycetes. The record is from RNAcentral.
CAAGUCGAACGCGAAAGCCCCCUUCGGGGGGCAAGUAGAGUGGCGCACGGGUGAGUAACACGUAGGUAAUCUACCUUUGGAUGGGGAAUAACCACCGGAAACGGUGGCUAAUACCGCAUAAUGCAGCGGCACCUAAUGGUGACAGUUGUUAAAGCGGGGGAUCGCAAGACCUCGCGUCUGAAGAGGAGCCUGCGGCAGAUUAGCUAGUUGGUAAGGUAAAGGCUUACCAAGGCGAUGAUCUGUAGCCGGCCUGAGAGGGCGGUCGGCCACACUGACACUGACAUACGGGUCAGACUCCUACGGGAGGCAGCAGUCGGGAAUUUUGGGCAAUGGGCGAAAGCCUGACCCAGCAACGCCGCGUGAAGGAUGAAAUCCCUCGGGAUGUAAACUUCGCAAGAACGGGAAGAAUAAGUAAGAGUUAAUAUCUCUUAUGAUGACGGUACUGUUUGUAAGCUCCGGCUAACUCCGUGCCAGCAGCCGCGGUAAUACGGGGGGAGCAAGCGUUGUUCGGAUUUACUGGGCGUAAAGGGCGCGUAGGCGGCCACCGCAAGUCGACUGUGAAAUCUCCGGGCUUAACUCGGAAAGGUCAGCCGAUACUGCGGGGCUAGAGUGCAGAAGGGGCAACUGGAAUUCUCGGUGUAGCGGUGAAAUGCGUAGAUAUCGAGAGGAACACCUGCGGCGAAGGCGGGUUGCUGGGCUGACACUGACGCUGAGGCGCGAAAGCUAGGGGAGCGAACGGGAUUAGAUACCCCGGUAGUCCUAGCCUUAAACGAUGAAUGCUUGGUGUCUGGGGUUUUAUAGUCCCCCGGGUGCCGU